UCAGGGAGUAGUUUAAUUAAAAUAAUAAUUUUGGAGAUUAUUGAUAAGAUGUUCUUUUCCCUGAG
This 65-nucleotide transfer RNA is filed under the name Trogoderma granarium. RNAcentral describes it as "tRNA-Pro". The record is from RNAcentral. Lineage: Eukaryota; Metazoa; Arthropoda; Insecta; Coleoptera; Dermestidae.